This 536-nucleotide ribosomal RNA is filed under the name Enterococcus avium. RNAcentral describes it as "bacterial SSU rRNA". It matches the Rfam family "Bacterial small subunit ribosomal RNA", at positions 45 to 554 of the family's 1533-position model. The record is from RNAcentral. Lineage: Bacteria; Bacillati; Bacillota; Bacilli; Lactobacillales; Enterococcaceae.
UGCCUAAUACAUGCAAGUCGAACGCUUUUUCUUUCACCGGAGCUUGCUCCACCGAAAGAAAAGGAGUGGCGAACGGGUGAGUAACACGUGGGUAACCUGCCCAUCAGAAGGGGAUAACACUUGGAAACAGGUGCUAAUACCGUAUAACAAUCGAAACCGCAUGGUUUCGGUUUGAAAGGCGCUUUUGCGUCACUGAUGGAUGGACCCGCGGUGCAUUAGCUAGUUGGUGAGGUAACGGCUCACCAAGGCAACGAUGCAUAGCCGACCUGAGAGGGUGAUCGGCCACAUUGGGACUGAGACACGGCCCAAACUCCUACGGGAGGCAGCAGUAGGGAAUCUUCGGCAAUGGACGCAAGUCUGACCGAGCAACGCCGCGUGAGUGAAGAAGGUUUUCGGAUCGUAAAACUCUGUUGUUAGAGAAGAACAAGGAUGAGAGUAGAAUGUUCAUCCCUUGACGGUAUUCUACCCGAAAGCCACGGCUAACUACGUGCCAGCAGCCGCGUAAUUCGUAGGUGGCAAGCGUUGUCCGGAUUAAU